GAUUCAUAAAUAGUGGUCGUGCCCGCCCCUGUUUCUCUCGUUGUUCGCUUCUCAAGAUGAUGGCGUUUGACGGCGUUCGCGGGGCGCCGCGCCGCGGCAUCCGUACUUGUGAGACGAAGUUGACGUCAUCAGCGCGUGCGCGCCGCGUCGGGACGGCACUGCAGAAGCAGGCGAGUUCGCGAAUGUAUCGAUUUUACGAUCGUGCCUCUCUCACGGUGCCAGUGCGUCCGUCGUUUCCUUUAGUUUUUUAGUGGACGUGCACGUUGUACAUGGAUAAAACCGUGAAUGGGAUUACUCGCUAGACACGUCGCUCCGUACACCGCCCGCUGACUCGCAACUCCUCGUCAUCCUUCACCAUGACCAAGGAUAGAUUAGCAGCCCUCGUCGCGGCCCAGUCAGACGAUGACGAUGUGGCGGACGAUGUGUCCGUCAACGUCGGGGCGCCGGAUGACUUCAUGACGGAAUUUUUCGCGGAGGUGGAGGAGAUCCGCGAAAUGAUAGACAGGAUCCAGACAAACGUGGAAGAUGUGAAGAAAAAGCACAGCGCCAUUCUCUCCGCGCCGCAGACCGAUGAGAAGGUGAAACUAGAACUGGAAGACCUGAUGUCUGACAUCAAGAAAACCGCUAACAAAGUGAGGGCUAAAUUAAAGGUGAUAGAGCAAAACAUCGAGCAAGAGGAGCACACCAAUAAAUCGUCAGCAGAUCUAAGGAUACGCAAAACCCAGCACUCGACGUUGUCUAGGAAGUUCGUUGAGGUGAUGACGGAGUAUAAUCGAACACAAACCGAUUAUAGAGAGCGGUGUAAGGGAAGAAUACAACGACAGCUCGAGAUCACGGGGAGAACAACCACCAAUGAGGAACUCGAGGAGAUGCUGGAACAAGGAAAUCCAGCCGUUUUCACGCAAGGGAUCAUUAUGGAAACGCAACAAGCAAAACAAACCCUUGCGGACAUCGAGGCGCGUCACGCUGACAUCAUUAAACUCGAAAACUCCAUCAGGGAGUUGCACGACAUGUUCAUGGACAUGGCCAUGUUGGUAGAAAGUCAGGGUGAAAUGAUGGACAGCAUUGAGUACUGCGUGAAUCAGACCGGCGACCACGUCGGCCAGGCCCGGGGCGAGCUGAUUAAAGCCGAAGAGUACCGAUCCAAGGCUCGUAAGAAAUUGUUCCUGAUAUCGAUCUGCGUGACGAUAGCAGUCAUCAUUCUGAUUAUCAUUUUGGUAGUUAGUUUAAGUUAGCUUAAGCAUACGCACGCGACAUUGGCGAUAGAAAAAAAAAAAUAAACAUAUUCGCAGAGUAAGUUUAACGGAAUGAAGGGGAAAAAAAUAGAACAAAUCGGGACGAGACAAGUAUUUUGAAUUGCCGAAAUAUUCGUCAUUCUUGUCUCGUCUCUCCGAUGAUGAGAAACGAAGAUCGACGCGGACCACGUCCAUCUUGAAUUUUCGCCGGGAAAUUCGGAUAGCGCGAUACGCAUCACCGAUCUCGAGGUAUCGUCUACGCAAGAUCGUUAAGUUUAUUUAUUAUUGAAUUUUAAUAAAUUUUAUGUGUUUAUACAUUUAUUAGUCUUAAAGAAUUUACUUUGUAUUCUCACGAUUAUUCUAACCGCGGGUUAACCAAUAUAUUGUGUAUCGAAUGUGAUGGUAAUCAGGAUCCAUCGUGCGGAUGUAAUUUUCCGGAAAAACGUCUCGAUGGAUAUCGCAAACGUCAUAACGCCAGAGUAGAAGUUAGGAACGGUGAUAAAACGUGCGUUAUAAGUCUGGAUUACACGAAGAACAAACUAUCACUUUAUUAGCGAAGAUUGUAAUCAAGUUCCUUCUAUCUCGUUUUGCGCCUCAAUACGUUGGAAAACGCGUAAAACCGCGAUAUUAAUUUUUAUUACAUUCUUUCGAAGAAACUAUAUCUUACCGAUUGCGAGAAGAAAUUGAGACAAGAAUUUGUAUAAACUUGCAGAGCGACGGUUCUUGAAAUUAAAAAAGAAAUAUACGUAUAUAGUGCUUGUACAAAUUAAAUACUGUAUUUGUUUAAAAUGCGCGCGUGCACUGCAAGUUUACGUUAAAUGGAUCGUAGAAAUGGAGAUAAGAAAUGCCGAGAAAAAUGAUCGAAGUCGGUGUUUUCUUUGGAAUGGAAUGGAGAUCGCCAUCACUGAUAGCUUUUCCUCGCAUUCGGGCGUAUCUUCACACUGCCUUUUAUUAUUUUUUUCACUUUUAUUAUUUUUGCCACUUCAUCGUUCUUAAUCCAAGUUCUGACGUGAGCGAGUAAUAACGAUGGCGAUUGCACAAUCGAAAAUCACGCGCGACAUACGAGAUCGAACACAUGCGCCCUUUUCCAAAUCGUCUUCAGAACGAAGCUCGCCGUCGAUUUGAUACGAAAUGCAGCGACAGCAAACUGAACCAUUCGUGAUUUUCAUUUCUCUUUCUAUAUUUAUCACCAACGAAUAUUGAUUUUGACUACCGUGUCACUGGAGGAGAAAUUAUUAAAUGUCAGCAAUCUAUAAAACAGUUCAGAAUCACUAAAAUAAGACCUCAAUAUAUUUUAUAUUCAGAAUUGUCACUCUCAUAACUCCGUUCUCUAAAUGAAUAAAUAAAGAUUAAAAUAUGAAGGCAAAAGUUAUCAUAUUAAAUUUAAUUUUUUUAAAAUCUGUUCGUUAAAUUCUUCCAGUUUUAUAUUGAGAUCUUUUAACGUCGAUUAAGAAAACACCCUUGGAACGUAGCUAUAACGAGCGCGAAAAUAUUCGACUUUACAUUAUAAAUUUUUGUUUUUGUCCACUAACCAAAUUGGUAUUUGAUGUCGGCGCAAAUUGUUUGUUGUCGCCGCAGAUUCGUUUGAUAUCAUUAAGUCAGCAAUACUCUUUAGAUCAGACUUGUCCAACACUUUACCAGCAAACUAUAAACGCUUUCACCUCUCGUUAAGUAAAACGUUUACGAACAAAAUGUUGGAGAAGUUUGCUCUAGAUAAUAGAAAAGGCAAUUUGAAUCGGCGCGGGUGGCGCGAGUUGGAGUUCGACGCUUCCGUAUUUGUCCCAGAACUGAUCGAUCGUUUCUGUGCGAAAUGUGACAGAGACGUUAUCUUCUUCACGCUCGCGUAUUUUAAUUCUUGUCUGGACGCGAGAAUUUCUGCUCGGUCGGGACAUUAAUCCGCGUGAUAACGACGUGUUUCGCGAUACGUAUGUAUGCUCCAAUGAAUACUUAGAUAUCGAUCACCGUCGUCGCAAUGCAGACCGCACGACACGAUAAUGGUGCCCGUGGCAUUGUACAUGUAAAUAAUCGUAAUUUGUAUAGAGCAGAUGAUAAUAAUAAUAAUAACAAGAUAACGAAAAAAAGAGUAACAAUAUUAAUCAUUAACGCGCCGAUAUAGUAUAAUAAACAUUUUCUUCUUCGGAUGUAUUCAGCGUGAAAAAAAGAAACUGUUACACAUAGAUAGGAGAAUGGCGGUAUGGUACGUCUUUGUUUCUCUGUCGUCUUUAUUGUACUUGCCGCCUCUCACGGAGAAGGAAACAAAAAGGAAAUUGUUCGUUAGUAAAACACCAGGUGCGAAUAAAAUGAGAUGUAAUAUAAUUAGCGCUGACCGUACGAAAUGAUAGUAGAAUCGCGAAAAUAAUAGAAUUCAUGUCGCGUUUUAUACAAGAUAUAAGAGAAAAGAAACAUCAAUGCGUUCGAUCGAGAAUUAAUUCACGGUGGAUAUUAGAUAUAAAUUUCCUUGGCGGAGUAUACUUGCUGCGAAGACAAGGAGAGAGAAAAGCGGGAUAAGAUAAAUUAGAAAAGAAUCUAAGAAGAUGCACCAUUGAAGCUGCACGGAAACAAGAGGAAAUUCUUGGAAGAAAACGGACGUUAACGAUGUCGAUUAAUGAAGGCCACUGCAACGUGCAUCGUCCGUGCCGGCAACGAGCAAGAGCUUAUUUCUUUCAGGUAUUUUACUAUAUAAUCGAUCGAUAAGUAAACAAUUGUAAUGUGUAAUGUAAUGUAUAAUGUAUUAACAAUGGACAGAGAGCACACAGAAUAAGAGGCAGAUGAAGAGAGAGAAAGAGUGAGAGGACGGGGGGAAAUAGAUGUGAGAAUAAAGAAAUUUAGGAAUGACAGUUAGGAGAGAGAGAGACACACACAGACAGAGAAAGCUUUAUAAUAAAUUAUAUUAAACUUUAACGAUCUCUGUUAAUGCCGAGUGCAGAAGAAGAUCAUGAUCAUGAUUUGCCUCGCCGUAUUGGGCGUUGUCGUCGCUACCACCAUCGGUGGAUAUUUCGGACUGUG
Molecule: RNA transcript, 4241 nt
Organism: Trachymyrmex cornetzi
Lineage: Eukaryota; Metazoa; Arthropoda; Insecta; Hymenoptera; Formicidae
Gene: Syx1A
Gene name: syntaxin 1A
Exons: 10
Source: RefSeq, a predicted model, not a curated record